Molecule: ribosomal RNA, 240 nt
Filed under: uncultured bacterium
Lineage: Bacteria
Description: partial 16S ribosomal RNA
Rfam family: Bacterial small subunit ribosomal RNA
Source: RNAcentral
UAACACGUAAACAACCUGCCUUCAGGAUGGGGACAACAGACGGAAACGACUGCUAAUACCGAAUAAGUUCCAAGGGCCGCAUGGCCCAUGGAAGAAAAGGUGGCCUCUACCUGUAAGCUAUCGCCUGAAGAGGGGUUUGCGUCUGAUUAGCUGGUUGGAGGGGUAACGGCCCACCAAGGCGACGAUCAGUAGCCGGUCUGAGAGGAUGAACGGCCACACUGGAACUGAGACACGGCCCAG